UACGUAGGGUGCGAGCGUUAAUCGGAAUUACUGGGCGUAAAGCGUGCGCAGGCGGUUAUUUAAGUCAGGUGUGAAAGCCCUGGGCUUAACCUAGGAAUUGCGCUUGAGACUGGAUAGCUUGGAGUGCGGCAGAGGGAGGUGGAAUUCCACGUGUAGCAGUGAAAUGCGUAGAGAUGUGGAGGAACACCAAUGGCGGAGGCAGCUUGCUGGGCCGACCCUGACGCUGAGGUACGAAAGCGUGGGGAGCGAACAGG
RNAcentral lists this ribosomal RNA (254 nucleotides) under uncultured bacterium. RNAcentral's name for it is "partial 16S ribosomal RNA". It matches the Rfam family "Bacterial small subunit ribosomal RNA", at positions 524 to 776 of the family's 1533-position model. The record is from RNAcentral.